ACGCUGGCGGCAGGCCUAACACAUGCAAGUCGAGCGGUAGAGAGAAGCUUGCUUCUCUUGAGAGCGGCGGACGGGUGAGUAAUGCCUAGGAAUCUGCCUGGUAGUGGGGGAUAACGUUCGGAAACGGACGCUAAUACCGCAUACGUCCUACGGGAGAAGGCAGGGGACCUUCGGGCCUUGCGCUAUCAGAUGAGCCUAGGUCGGAUUAGCUAGUUGGUGGGGUAAUGGCUCACCAAGGCGACGAUCCGUAACUGGUCUGAGAGGAUGAUCAGUCACACUGGAACUGAGACACGGUCCAGACUCCUACGGGAGGCGGCAGUGGGGAAUAUUGGACAAUGGGCGAAAGCCUGAUCCAGCCAUGCCGCGUGUGUGAAGAAGGUCUUCGGAUUGUAAAGCACUUUAAGUUGGGAGGAAGGGCAGUAAAUUAAUACUUUGCUGUUUUGACGUUACCGACAGAAUAAGCACCGGCUAACUCUGUGCCAGCAGCCGCGGUAAUACAGAGGGUGCAAGCGUUAAUCGGAAUUACUGGGCGUAAAGCGCGCGUAGGUGGUUCGUUAAGUUGGAUGUGAAAUCCCCGGGCUCAACCUGGGAACUGCAUUCAAAACUGACGAGCUAGAGUAUGGUAGAGGGUGGUGGAAUUUCCUGUGUAGCGGUGAAAUGCGUAGAUAUAGGAGGGAACACCAGUGGCGAAGGCGACCACCUGGACUGAUACUGACACUGAGGUGCGAAAGCGUGGGGAGCAAAC
RNAcentral lists this ribosomal RNA (745 nucleotides) under uncultured bacterium. RNAcentral's name for it is "bacterial SSU rRNA". It matches the Rfam family "Bacterial small subunit ribosomal RNA", at positions 33 to 773 of the family's 1533-position model. The record is from RNAcentral.